AGAGUUUGAUCCUGGCUCAGAUUGAACGCUGGCGGCAGGCUUAACACAUGCAAGUCGAGCGGUAGCACAGGGGAGCUUGCUCCCUGGGUGACGAGCGGCGGACGGGUGAGUAAUGUCUGGGAAACUGCCUGAUGGAGGGGGAUUUCUACUGGAAACGGUAGCUAAUACCGCAUAACGUCGCAAGACCAAAGAGGGGGACCUUCGGGCCUCUUGCCAUCAGAUGUGCCCAGAUGGGAUUAGCUAGUAGGUGGGGUAAUGGCUCACCUAGGCGACGAUCCCUAGCUGGUCUGAGAGGAUGACCAGCCACACUGGAACUGAGACACGGUCCAGACUCCUACGGGAGGCAGCAGUGGGGAAUAUUGCACAAUGGGCGCAAGUCUGAUGCAGCCAUGCCGCGUGUGUGUUGAAGGCCUUCGGGUUGUAAAGCACUUUCAGCGAGGAGGAAGGUGGUGAGCUUAAUACGUUCAUCAAUUGACGUUACUCGCAGAAGAAGCACCGGCUAACUCCGUGCCAGCAGCCGCGGUAAUACGGAGGGUGCAAGCGUUAAUCGGAACCACUGGGCGUAAAGCGCACGCAGGCGGUUUGUUAAGUCAGAUGUGAAAUCCCCGGGCUCAACCUGGGAACUGCAUUUGAAACUGGCAAGCUAGAGUCUCGUAGAGGGGGGUAGAAUUCCAGGUGUAGCGGUGAAAUGCGUAGAGAUCUGGAGGAAUACCGGUGGCGAAGGCGGCCCCCUGGACGAAGACUGACGCUCAGGUGCGAAAGCGUGGGGAGCAAACAGGAUUAGAUACCCUGGUAGUCCACGCUGUAAACGAUGUCGAUUUGGAGGUUGUGCCCUUGAGGCGUGGCUUCCGGAGCUAACGCGUUAAAUCGACCGCCUGGGGAGUACGGCCGCAAGGUUAAAACUCAAAUGAAUUGACGGGGGCGGGCACAAGCGGUGGAGCAUGUGGUUUAAUUCGAUGCAACGCGAAGAACCUUACCUACUCUUGACAUCCAGAGAACUUUCCAGAGAUGGAUUGGUGCCUUCGGGAACUCUGAGACAGGUGCUGCAUGGCUGUCGUCAGCUCGUGUUGUGAAAUGUUGGGUUAAGUCCCGCAACGAGCGCAACCCUUAUCCUUUGUUGCCAGCGGUUCGGCCGGGAACUCAAAGGAGACUGGGAGUGAUAAACUGGAGGAAGGUGGGGAUGACGUCAAGUCAUCAUGGCCCUUACGAGCAGGGCUACACACGUGCUACAAUGGCGUAUACAAAGAGAAGCGACCUCGCGAGAGCAAGCGGACCUCAUAAAGUACGUCGUAGUCCGGAUUGGAGUCUGCAACUCGACUCCAUGAAGUCGGAAUCGCUAGUAAUCGUAGAUCAGAAUGCUACCCUGAAUACGUUCCCGGGCCUUGUACACACCGCCCGUCACACCAUGGGAGUGGGUUGCAAAAGAAGUAGGUAGCUUAACCUUCGGGAGGGCGCUUACCACUUUGUGAUUCAUGACUGGGGUGAAGUCGUAACAAGGUAACCGUAGGGGAACCUGCGGCUGGAUCACCUCCUU
Molecule: ribosomal RNA, 1534 nt
Filed under: Serratia marcescens
Lineage: Bacteria; Pseudomonadati; Pseudomonadota; Gammaproteobacteria; Enterobacterales; Yersiniaceae
Description: bacterial SSU rRNA
Rfam family: Bacterial small subunit ribosomal RNA
Source: RNAcentral